Molecule: long non-coding RNA, 233 nt
Organism: Spea bombifrons (plains spadefoot toad)
Lineage: Eukaryota; Metazoa; Chordata; Amphibia; Anura; Pelobatidae
Exons: 2
Source: RefSeq, a predicted model, not a curated record
CCUAUUAAAGAAUUUUCUUUCCUCUUUAGUCUAUCUACAGUGGUUAAAAUAGUGGUUUAUCAAGCAUGUGUCAGUUGGUCAGACACGCACGCGGAAGCACGCACACACACGUGCAUACACACACUGUUUGAGACAGUGGCUGAUGCUUACCAUAUUUUACCUUGCAAAUACCAUAUGAUGACUUAUAAAUGCAUUUCUAACUAUUGCUUAGAUGUUUUUAGUACACAUCUCUA